AUUGAACGCUGGCGGCAGGCCUAACACAUGCAAGUCGAGCGGAUGAAGGGAGCUUGCUCCUAUAUUCAGCGGCGGACGGGUGAGUAAUGCCUAGGAAUCUGCCUGGUCGUGGGGGAUAACGUCCGGAAACGGGCGCUAAUACCGCAUACGUCCUGAUGGAGAAAGUGGGGGAUCUUCGGACCUCACGCUAUCAGAUGAGCCUAGGUCGGAUUAGCUAGUUGGUGGGGUAAAGGCCUACCAAGGCGACGAUCCGUAACUGGUCUGAGAGGAUGAUCAGUCACACUGGAACUGAGACACGGUCCAGACUCCUACGGGAGGCAGCAGUGGGGAAUAUUGGACAAUGGGCGAAAGCCUGAUGCAGCCAUGCCGCGUGUGUGAAGAAGGUCUUCGGAUUGUAAAGCACUUUAAGUUGGGAGGAAGGGCAGUAAGUGAAUACCUGGCUGUUUUGACGUUACCAACAGAAUAAGCACCGGCUAACUUCGUG
Molecule: ribosomal RNA, 484 nt
Filed under: uncultured bacterium
Lineage: Bacteria
Description: partial 16S ribosomal RNA
Rfam family: Bacterial small subunit ribosomal RNA
Source: RNAcentral